AUUGAACGCUGGCGGCAUGCCUUACACAUGCAAGUCGAACGGUAACAGGUUAGGCUGACGAGUGGCGAACGGGUGAGUAAUGUAUCGGAACGUGCCCAGUCGUGGGGGAUAACUGCUCGAAAGAGCAGCUAAUACCGCAUACGACCUGAGGGUGAAAGCGGGGGAUCGCAAGACCUCGCGCGAUUGGAGCGGCCGAUAUCAGAUUAGGUAGUUGGUGAGGUAAAGGCUCACCAAGCCGACGAUCUGUAGCUGGUCUGAGAGGACGACCAGCCACACUGGGACUGAGACACGGCCCAGACUCCUACGGGAGGCAGCAGUGGGGAAUUUUGGACAAUGGGCGCAAGCCUGAUCCAGCCAUGCCGCGUGCGGGAAGAAGGCCUUCGGGUUGUAAACCGCUUUUGUCAGGGAAGAAAAGGUUCUGGCUAAUACCUGGGACUCAUGACGGUACCUGAAGAAUAAGCACCGGCUAACUACGUG
Molecule: ribosomal RNA, 477 nt
Filed under: uncultured bacterium
Lineage: Bacteria
Description: partial 16S ribosomal RNA
Rfam family: Bacterial small subunit ribosomal RNA
Source: RNAcentral